This 427-nucleotide ribosomal RNA is filed under the name uncultured bacterium. RNAcentral describes it as "bacterial SSU rRNA". It matches the Rfam family "Bacterial small subunit ribosomal RNA", at positions 355 to 774 of the family's 1533-position model. The record is from RNAcentral.
UGGGGAAUUUUGGACAAUGGGCGAAAGCCUGAUCCAGCCAUGCCGCGUGAGUGAAGAAGGCCUUCGGGUUGUAAAGCUCUUUUAGUCGGAAAGAAAGAGUUACAAUGAAUAAUUGUGAUUUAUGACGGUACCGACAGAAAAAGCAACGGCUAACUACGUGCCAGCAGCCGCGGUAAUACGAAGGGUGCGAGCGUUAAUCGGCAUUACUGGGCGUAAAGGGUGAGCAGGCGGUCUUUUAAGUCAGAUGUGAAAGCACCGGGCUUAACCUGGGAAUUGCGUUUGNAACUACAAGGCUAGAGUGCAGCAGAGGGUGUUGGAAUUCCAUGUGUAGCAGUGAAAUGCGUAGAGAUGUUGAAGAACACCGGUGGCGAAGGCAGCUCCCUGGGUUGACACUGACGCUCAUGCAAGAAAGCGUUGGGAGCAAACA